RNAcentral lists this ribosomal RNA (375 nucleotides) under Triticum aestivum (bread wheat). RNAcentral describes it as "partial small subunit ribosomal RNA". The record is from RNAcentral. Lineage: Eukaryota; Viridiplantae; Streptophyta; Magnoliopsida; Poales; Poaceae.
AUGCGUAGGUGGUCUGGAGAGGGCGGCUAUCUUCCACUUCUCGUCCCUGGAUCUUGGAGUCAUCAGACCGGCGAAGCGGUGCAGUUAGAUCUUGUGAUGGAGCGAGAGCGACAGACAAAUCCGGCCGAGUUCUUGAUGCAGCCCUUAAGCAGCAGAACUCUGCUAGAGGAGGUCAACAAAAACAACGGCCACAUGAGUCCUCUUCAUUACCCUGUGACGCCGCUGCCGGCUGUUGAGCUUCCCACCACGGCGGCGUUGGGUGCAGAUGUCCAGAUGUGUGCUGCUGAAUCUGCUCAAGCGGCAGGAACUGCAGACAAGGCUAGGCUUGAGCAACUCCAUAGAGCAAAUAUACCCGAAAACUCCUGGCUGGACUAA